CGCGUAGGCGGCUUUAUAAGUCUGGAGUGAAAGUCCUCUUUUCAAGGGAGGAAUUGCUUUGGAAACUAUAAAGCUUGAGUGCAGGAGAGGUUAUCGGAAUUCCCGGUGUAGCGGUGAAAUGCGUAGAUAUCGGGAGGAACAUCGGUGGCGAAGGCGGGUAACUGGACUGCAACUGACGCUGAGGCGCGAAAGUGUGGGGAGCAAACAG
This 208-nucleotide ribosomal RNA is filed under the name uncultured bacterium. RNAcentral's name for it is "partial 16S ribosomal RNA". It matches the Rfam family "Bacterial small subunit ribosomal RNA", at positions 568 to 775 of the family's 1533-position model. The record is from RNAcentral.